GAUGAACGCUGGCGGCGUGCUUAAUACAUGCAAGUCGAGCGAAAAGACGCGGAGCUUGCUCCUCUGACGUUAGCGGCGGACGGGUGAGAAACACGUGGAUCCCCUCCCUAUCAGACUGGGAUAACUUCGGGAAACCGGAGCAAAUACCGGAUAAUCUAUUGAACCGCAUGGUUCAUUAGUGAAAGUCGGUUUUGCUGUAACUUCUCGCUGGUUCCGGGCUGCUUUGGCUAGUAGGUAAGGUACAGGCUUACCAAGGCAAGUAUGCGUAGCCGACGUGAGAGACGGGUAGCCGACAUGGGAACGUGGACACGGACAAGACGCCUACGAGAGGCAGCAGAAUGGAAUCGGCCGCAAUAGGCGAAAACCUGACGGAACGACGCCGCGUGAGUGACGAAGGUCUUCGGAGCGUAAAACUCUGUUAUGAGUGAAGAACAAAUGUGUAAGGAACUAUGCACGUCGUGACGGUACCGAGUCAGAAAGCCACGGCUAACUACGUG
This 497-nucleotide ribosomal RNA is filed under the name uncultured bacterium. RNAcentral describes it as "partial 16S ribosomal RNA". It matches the Rfam family "Bacterial small subunit ribosomal RNA", at positions 28 to 507 of the family's 1533-position model. The record is from RNAcentral.